UAGCGUAUAUUAAAGUUGUUGCGGUAAAAAAGCUCGUAGUUGGAUUUCUGUUGAGGAUGGCCGGUCCAUACCACGUAUGCGCAUCUGGUUUUUCAUCCUCGGCAUCCUCUCGAAAUACGUUGCUGUGCUUGAUUGCAUGGUGCGGAGUUCGGGACUUUUACUUUGAGGAAAUUAGAGUGUUCACGGCAGGCUAUCGCCCGAAUACGUUAGCAUGGAAUAAUAAUAUAGGAUCUCGGUUCUAUUUUGUUGGUUUCUAGGAUUGAGAUAAUGAUUAAUAGGGACAAUUGGGGGCAUUCGUAUCAAUACGUC
RNAcentral lists this ribosomal RNA (309 nucleotides) under Amoebophrya sp. Its description in RNAcentral is "SSU rRNA". It matches the Rfam family "Eukaryotic small subunit ribosomal RNA", at positions 595 to 906 of the family's 1831-position model. The record is from RNAcentral. Lineage: Eukaryota; Dinophyceae; Syndiniales; Amoebophryaceae.